RNAcentral lists this ribosomal RNA (700 nucleotides) under uncultured Gammaproteobacteria bacterium. Its description in RNAcentral is "bacterial SSU rRNA". It matches the Rfam family "Bacterial small subunit ribosomal RNA", at positions 56 to 750 of the family's 1533-position model. The record is from RNAcentral. Lineage: Bacteria; Pseudomonadati; Pseudomonadota; Gammaproteobacteria.
UGCAAGUCGAUCGGUAACAGGUGUAGCAAUACAUGCUGACGAGAGGCGGACGGGUGAGGAACGCUUGGGAAUCUGCCUAUCAGCGGGGGACAACCCGGGGAAACUCGGGCUAAUACCGCAUACGCUCUACGGAGGAAAGCCGGGGACCGCAAGGCCUGGCACUGAUAGAUGAGCCCAAGUCGGAUUAGCUAGUUGGCGGGGUAACGGCCCACCAAGGCGACGAUCCGUAGCUGGUCUGAGAGGACGAUCAGCCACACCGGAACUGAGACACGGUCCGGACUCCUACGGGAGGCAGCAGUGGGGAAUAUUGGACAAUGGGCGAAAGCCUGAUCCAGCGACGCCGCGUGGGUGAAGAAGGCCUGCGGGUUGUAAAGCCCUUUCGGUAGGGACGAAAGCUCCUGUCCUAACAAGGCAGGGGGUUGACUUAACCUACAUAAGAAGCACCGGCUAACUCUGUGCCAGCAGCCGCGGUAAUACAGAGGGUGCGAGCGUUAAUCGGAAUUACUGGGCGUAAGCGCACGUAGUCGGCUUGACAAGUCGGGUGUGAAAUCCCCGGGCUCAACCUGGGAACUGCAUCCGAGACUGCCUUGCUAGAGUAUGGGAGAGGGAAGCGGAAUUUCUGGUGUAGCAGUGAAAUGCGUAGAUAUCAGAAGGAACAUCAGUGGCGAAGGCGGCUUCCUGGACCAAUACUGACGAUCAG